CUGAUCUUUAAAGUUGCUUUGAUUUUUUUUCCAGUUCCUCAGCUGAUGUCUUAUUGUAUUGGGAUAAUUUAUUUUCCCUAUCAAUAUUGUGUUCCAGACCAAACCUUCAAAAUGUUUGACUUCCCAUACUUUAGCCUCCAUAAUAUACCAUCCUUCAUUAUUUUUAUUAGUUAGCUGCAUUCUAUAAACAUGCAAUCUUAUAGAUGCCAUAUAUUUAUUCUUAAUAAAAGGAUAUCCCAUACCUCCCUUAUUCAUCUUCUGAGGUAGGGUAAUUUGACAUAGUCUUGGUGUUUUGCCUUUCCUUCCAUAUAUAUUGCAUAAAACUAUUUUGAAUAAUUUCAAGCCAGCUGUUAGAGAUAUUUAAUGGUAACA
Pelobates cultripes (western spadefoot toad) is the source of this 372-nucleotide non-coding RNA. The record is from the annotation of a GenBank genome assembly. Lineage: Eukaryota; Metazoa; Chordata; Amphibia; Anura; Pelobatidae.